GAGGGAGCCGGGAAACGCGGCCAGCGCGCGCUUGCUACGGCUGGUCGUGAGCCCAGGUGCUAACUACUAAAUCGCCGAGUCAUUUUCAGAAAGAUUAAAAUAAGCUAGUUGGUCUGUUUUUUUUCUUACACCAUGAGAAAAACUCUGCACAGGAGUUGAGAAACUUGUUUCUAUAUUAAAUAACUCAUGUCGUGGGAAAGUGGUCUCCUACUUUAAUGAAGAGAGGUAUUUAUUUUGGUGGAGCUUUGACCGCAAAGUGGGAAAUGAAACGGAGUCACAAUACUUUAGCUGCAAUGCAAAAAAGAGUGGGGACGACCGGACAACCACAUAGCACAGCUCUUAGUAGGAUUUUUAAGCUUACAUUUUACAUCAUUAUAGCAAUUAUUCUGGAGUGGAGAGGAGGACGGCAACCUCCGUGGAAUGCAUAGCAGAAUACACUGAAGAUCAGUGGCAAUCGAAACCGUGGUACAAGCGAUCUGACAGGAACACAGUGUCUCACUGCCGAGUAGCUAACAUCCACUGCAUAGAGUGGCCGUCAUUGCGUCCCUUAGUCUUCCUCAGAUCUAGAGACUCGCUUCCAUCAACAGAAUAAGGCAAAAGUGAUGGAGGUCGCUUUCAAGAUUAGGUUAUAAAAGACGGACUUUCAUCUUGCUUGCAUUCCCCUCUUGGGCACUACCUGUCUUGCCCUCUCAUUGGCUCUUUUCGAUGAAGCCACCUACCAUGUUGUGAGCUGCUUUUUGGAGAGGUCCACAUGGCAAGGAACUGAGCGUCACCUCCAGCCAGCAGCCAGUGAGGAACUGAGGCCCUCAGUCCAAUAACCUUCGAGGAACUAACAGACUAACACCGUUGGAGGGAGCUAGGGAGUGCAUCUCUCCCCAUGUGAGCCUUGAGAUGACUCUCUCCUGCCAAGACCUUGAUUGCAGCCUGUGAGACCCUCACGCUGAGGACCCAGUUAAGCCUCUCCCAGAGUGCUGUCCUACAGAAGCUGUGAAAUAAUAAAUAUUGUUUUAGUCCACUAAAUUUUGGAGUAUUCGUUACCCAACAAUAGAUUACGAAGACAGGCUGUCUCCUCUGUUUUCUGAAAGAGCGUACCAAUGAAUAAUACUGACUGAGCCAAGCAUAUACUUCAUUCCCU
RNAcentral lists this long non-coding RNA (1135 nucleotides) under Equus asinus (donkey). Its description in RNAcentral is "lncRNA (ENSEASG00005036530.1, ENSEASG00020022401.1)". The record is from RNAcentral. Lineage: Eukaryota; Metazoa; Chordata; Mammalia; Perissodactyla; Equidae.